Molecule: ribosomal RNA, 501 nt
Filed under: uncultured bacterium
Lineage: Bacteria
Description: partial 16S ribosomal RNA
Rfam family: Bacterial small subunit ribosomal RNA
Source: RNAcentral
AUUGAACGCUGGCGGCAGGCUUAACACAUGCAAGUCGAGCGGAGAUGAGGUGCUUGCACCUUAUCUUAGCGGCGGACGGGUGAGUAAUGCUUAGGAAUCUGCCUAUUAGGUGGGGACGACAUUUCGAAAGGAAUGCUAAUACCGCAUACGUCCUACGGGAGAAAGCAGGGGAUCUUCGGACAGUGCGCCAAUAGAUGAGCCUAAGUCGGAUUAGCUAGUUGGUGGGGUAAAGGCCUACCAAGGCGACGAUCUGUAGCGGGUCUGAGAGGAUGAUCCGCCACACUGGGACUGAGACACGGCCCAGACUCCUACGGGAGGCAGCAGUGGGGAAUAUUGGACAAUGGGCGCAAGCCUGAUCCAGCCAUGCCGCGUGUGUGAAGAAGGCCUUAUGGUUGUAAAGCACUUUAAGCGAGGAGGAGGCUACUUUAGUUAAUACCUAGAGAUAGUGGACGUUACUCGCAGAAUAAGCACCGGCUAACUCUGUGCCAGCAGCCGCCGUAA